Molecule: ribosomal RNA, 495 nt
Filed under: uncultured bacterium
Lineage: Bacteria
Description: bacterial SSU rRNA
Rfam family: Bacterial small subunit ribosomal RNA
Source: RNAcentral
GGCUCAGGAUGAACGCUAGCUACAGGCUUAACACAUGCAAGUCGAGGGGCGGCAUGAAGUCAGCUUGCUGACUUUGAUGGCGACCGGCGCACGGGUGAGUAACGCGUAUCCAACCUUCCCCUUACUCAGGAAUAGCCCGUUGAAAGACGGAUUAAUGCCUGAUGUUCUCUUUUUCCGGCAUCGGUAAUAGAGCAAAGAUUCAUCGGUGGCGGAUGGGCAUGCGGCGCAUUAGCUAGUUGGAGGGGUAACGGCCCACCAAGGCGACGAUGCGUAGGGGUUCUGAGAGGAAGGUCCCCCACACUGGUACUGAGACACGGACCAGACUCCUACGGGAGGCAGCAGUGAGGAAUAUUGGUCAAUGGACGAGAGUCUGAACCAGCCAAGUAGCGUGCAGGAUGACGGCCCUCUGGGUUGUAAACUGCUUUUAGUUGGGAAUAAAAGAGGGACGUGUCCCUAAUUGUAUGUACCAUCAGAAAAGGACCGGCUAAUUCCGUG